This 844-nucleotide small RNA is filed under the name Pan troglodytes (chimpanzee). RNAcentral's name for it is "retained intron". The record is from RNAcentral. Lineage: Eukaryota; Metazoa; Chordata; Mammalia; Primates; Hominidae.
GGAGGAGCGCAUCACGGGCAUCAACGACCCUCGGCUGAGGAACCCCUCGGACAAGUUUAUCUACGCCACGGUGAAGCAGAGCUCCGUGGAUAUCUACUUCCGGCGCCAGGUGGAGCUGAGCACCAUGUACCGGCAUAUGGAGAAGCACAACUACGAGAGUGCGGCGGAGGCCAUCCAGGCCGUGAGAGACAACAAGCUGCAUGCCUUCAUCUGGGACUCGGCGGUGCUGGAGUUCGAGGCCUCGCAGAAGUGCGACCUGGUGACGACUGGAGAGCUGUUUUUCCGCUCGGGCUUCGGCAUAGGCAUGCGCAAAGACAGCCCCUGGAAGCAGAACGUCUCCCUGUCCAUCCUCAAGUCCCAUGAGAAUGGCUUCAUGGAAGACCUGGACAAGACGUGGGUUCGGUAUCAGGAAUGUGACUCGCGCAGCAACGCCCCUGCGACCCUUACUUUUGAGAACAUGGCAGGGGUCUUCAUGCUGGUAGCUGGGGGCAUCGUGGCCGGGAUCUUCCUGAUUUUCAUUGAGAUUGCCUACAAGCGGCACAAGGAUGCUCGCCGGAAGCAGAUGCAGCUGGCCUUUGCCGCCGUUAACGUGUGGAGGAAGAACCUGCAGGUAGGGCAGGCCACCCUCCGAGGCCUGGUGCCCAGGGCCCGGCCUGGCCACGGCCCUCCUCCAUCCCCGAAGGCCGUGGCACUGGCUCUGGCUCUGGUGGGCAGGACUGGAGCUAGGAGCCAUGGCCAGGGGCAGUGGUGAGUGCUCCCAGGGCACGGGGGCAGCACUGGUGGGGGGCUGCCUGCAGGUGGCUGCCCACUGCAAAGCCGGGGCCGAGGGAGGCCACGCACCCUG